CAGUAGCCACGGUAAUACGUAGGGUGCAAGCGUUAAUCAGAAUUACUGGGCGUAAAGCGUGCGCAGGCGGUUUGUUAAGACGGAUGUGAAAUCCCCGGGCUCAACCUGGGAACUGCAUUCGUGACUGGCGAGCUAGAGUAUGGCAGAGGGGGGUAGAAUUCCACGUGUAGCAGUGAAAUGCGUAGAUAUCGGAAGGAACACCUGUGGCGAAAGCGGCUCACUGGACCAUUACUGACGCUGAGGCGCGAAAGCUAGGGGAGCAAACAGGAUUAGAUACCCCCGUAGUCCCUGUCUCUUAUAC
Molecule: ribosomal RNA, 301 nt
Filed under: uncultured bacterium
Lineage: Bacteria
Description: partial 16S ribosomal RNA
Rfam family: Bacterial small subunit ribosomal RNA
Source: RNAcentral